RNAcentral lists this transfer RNA (73 nucleotides) under Nicotiana sylvestris (wood tobacco). It matches the Rfam family "tRNA". From Rfam's summary of the family: Transfer RNA (tRNA) molecules are approximately 80 nucleotides in length. Their secondary structure includes four short double-helical elements and three loops (D, anti-codon, and T loops). RNAcentral also lists the same sequence under 1 other name. Lineage: Eukaryota; Viridiplantae; Streptophyta; Magnoliopsida; Solanales; Solanaceae. The record is from Rfam by way of RNAcentral.
ACUUUCGUAGCUCAGCUAGUUAGAGCAUCCGCUUAGCAAGCGAAGUUCUUGAGUUCGACUCUCAACAAAUAUA